This 253-nucleotide ribosomal RNA is filed under the name uncultured bacterium. Its description in RNAcentral is "partial 16S ribosomal RNA". It matches the Rfam family "Bacterial small subunit ribosomal RNA", at positions 524 to 776 of the family's 1533-position model. The record is from RNAcentral.
UACGUAGGUGGCAAGCGUUGUCCGGAAUUAUUGGGUUUAAAGGGUGCGUAGGUGACCUGUUAAGUCAGGGGUGAAAGACGGUAGCUCAACUAUCGCAGUGCCCUUGAUACUGAUGGGCUUGAAUGAACUAGAGGUAGGCGGAAUGUGACAAGUAGCGGUGAAAUGCAUAGAUAUGUCACAGAACACCAAUUGCGAAGGCAGCUUACUAGGGUUUUAUUGACACUGAGGCACGAAAGCGUGGGGAGCAAACAGG